RNAcentral lists this ribosomal RNA (409 nucleotides) under uncultured bacterium. Its description in RNAcentral is "bacterial SSU rRNA". It matches the Rfam family "Bacterial small subunit ribosomal RNA", at positions 29 to 439 of the family's 1533-position model. The record is from RNAcentral.
AUUGAACGCUGGCGGAAUGCUUUACACAUGCAAGUCGAACGGCAGCACGGGUGCUUGCACCUGGUGGCGAGUGGCGAACGGGUGAGUAAUGCACCGGAACGUAUCCAAUAAUGGGGGAUAACGCACCGAAAGGUGUGCUAAUACCGCAUAAGAACUGAGGUUGAAAGCGGCGGACCGCAAGGCGUCGCGCGAUUGGAUGAACCGAUGUCCGAUUAGCUAGUUGGCGGGGUAAAGGCCCACCAAGGCGACGAUCGGUAGCUGGUCUGAGAGGACGACCAGCCACACUGGAACUGAGACACGGUCCAGACUCCUACGGGAGGCAGCAGUGGGGAAUAUUGGACAAUGGGCGCAAGCCUGAUCCAGCCAUGACCGCGUGGGUGAAGAAGGCCUCGGUUGUAAGCCUUGUCGG